Molecule: transfer RNA, 72 nt
Filed under: Candidatus Woesebacteria bacterium
Lineage: Bacteria; Candidatus Woeseibacteriota
Description: tRNA-Glu
Rfam family: tRNA
About the family: Transfer RNA (tRNA) molecules are approximately 80 nucleotides in length. Their secondary structure includes four short double-helical elements and three loops (D, anti-codon, and T loops).
Source: RNAcentral
GGCGCUAUCGUCUAACGGCUAGGACGAUACCCUUUCACGGUAUAAAUCAGGGUCCGACUCCCUGUAGCGUCA